Molecule: ribosomal RNA, 1086 nt
Filed under: bacterium P1C2
Lineage: Bacteria
Description: bacterial SSU rRNA
Rfam family: Bacterial small subunit ribosomal RNA
Source: RNAcentral
UGACGGAGUUUUCGGACAACGAAAGGGAAUGCUUAGUGGCGGACGGGUGAGUAACGCGUGAGUAACCUGCCUUGGAGUGGGGAAUAACAGCCGGAAACGGCUGCUAAUACCGCAUGAUGUAUCUGGAUCGCAUGGUUCUGGAUACCAAAGAUUUAUCGCUCUGAGAUGGACUCGCGUCUGAUUAGCUAGUUGGUGAGGUAAUGGCUCACCAAGGCGACGAUCAGUAGCCGGACUGAGAGGUUGGCCGGCCACAUUGGGACUGAGACACGGCCCAGACUCCUACGGGAGGCAGCAGUGGGGAAUAUUGGGCAAUGGGCGAAAGCCUGACCCAGCAACGCCGCGUGAAGGAAGAAGGCCCUCGGGUUGUAAACUUCUUUUGUCAGGGACGAAGCAAGUGACGGUACCUGACGAAUAAGCCACGGCUAACUACGUGCCAGCAGCCGCGGUAAUACGUAGGUGGCAAGCGUUAUCCGGAUUUACUGGGUGUAAAGGGCGUGUAGGCGGGAGUGCAAGUCAGAUGUGAAAACUAUGGGCUCAACCCAUAGCCUGCAUUUGAAACUGUACUUCUUGAGUGAUGGAGAGGCAGGCGGAAUUCCCUGUGUAGCGGUGAAAUGCGUAGAUAUAGGGAGGAACACCAGUGGCGAAGGCGGCCUGCUGGACAUUAACUGACGCUGAGGCGCGAAAGCGUGGGGAGCAAACAGGAUUAGAUACCCUGGUAGUCCACGCCGUAAACGAUGGAUACUAGGUGUGGGGGGUCUGACCCCCUCCGUGCCGCAGUUAACACAAUAAGUAUCCCACCUGGGGAGUACGAUCGCAAGGUUGAAACUCAAAGGAAUUGACGGGGGCCCGCACAAGCGGUGGAGUAUGUGGUUUAAUUCGAAGCAACGCGAAGAACCUUACCAGGACUUGACAUCCUACUAACGAAGCAGAGAUGCAUAAGGUGCCCUUCGGGGAAAGUAGAGACAGGUGGUGCAUGGUUGUCGUCAGCUCGUGUCGUGAGAUGUUGGGUUAAGUCCCGCAACGAGCGCAACCCUUAAUUGUUAGUUGCUACGCAAGAGCACUCUAACCGAGACUGCCGUUGACAAA